GGUGAGAUGUCCGAGAGGAUUAAGGAGCGCGCCUGGAAAGUGCGUAUACGUUAAACCGUAUCAAGGGUUCGAAUCCCUUUCUCACCG
Molecule: transfer RNA, 87 nt
Filed under: Buchnera aphidicola (Schlechtendalia chinensis)
Lineage: Bacteria; Pseudomonadati; Pseudomonadota; Gammaproteobacteria; Enterobacterales; Erwiniaceae
Also listed under: 1 other name
Rfam family: tRNA
About the family: Transfer RNA (tRNA) molecules are approximately 80 nucleotides in length.
Source: Rfam by way of RNAcentral